Molecule: ribosomal RNA, 300 nt
Filed under: uncultured bacterium
Lineage: Bacteria
Description: bacterial SSU rRNA
Rfam family: Bacterial small subunit ribosomal RNA
Source: RNAcentral
GCGUGGGGGAUGAAGGUCUUCGGAUUGUAAACCCCUGUUGAGAGGGACGAAGGCUUGCGGGCAAACAGUCCGUACGCUUGACGGUACCUCGAGAGGAAGCCCCGGCUAACUCUGUGCCAGCAGCCGCGGUAAUACAGAGGGGGCGAGCGUUAUUCGGAAUUAUUGGGCGUAAAGGGCGCGUAGGCGGCUAAGCAAGUCUUGGGUGAAAUCCCUCGGCUCAACCGAGGAACUGCCUUGGAAACUGCUUGGCUUGAGGCCGGGAGAGGGUGGUGGAAUUCCCAGUGUAGCGGUGAAAUGCGU